This 403-nucleotide ribosomal RNA is filed under the name bacterium. RNAcentral describes it as "partial 16S ribosomal RNA". It matches the Rfam family "Bacterial small subunit ribosomal RNA", at positions 355 to 776 of the family's 1533-position model. The record is from RNAcentral.
UGGGGAAUAUUGCACAAUGGGGGAAACCCUGAUGCAGCGACGCCGCGUGAACGAAGAAGGUAUUCGUAUCGUAAAGUUCUGUCCUAUGGGAAGAUAAUGACAGUACCAUAGAAGAAAGCUCCGGCUAAAUACGUGCCAGCAGCCGCGGUAAUACGUAUGGAGCGAGCGUUGUCCGGAAUUAUUGGGCGUAAAGGGUACGCAGGCGGUUUAAUAAGUCGAAUGUAAAAGAUCGGGGCUCAACCCCGCAAAGCAUUGGAAACUGAUAAACUUGAGUAGUGGAGAGGAAAGUGGAAUUCCUAGUGUAGUGGUGAAAUACGUAGAUAUUAGGAGGAAUACCAGUAGCGAAGGCGACUUUCUGGACACAAACUGACGCUGAGGUACGAAAGCGUGGGGAGCAAACAGG